Molecule: ribosomal RNA, 408 nt
Filed under: uncultured bacterium
Lineage: Bacteria
Description: partial 16S ribosomal RNA
Rfam family: Bacterial small subunit ribosomal RNA
Source: RNAcentral
AGUGAACGCUGGCGGCGUGCCUAAUACAUGCAAGUCGAACGGAGUGGCGCACGGGUGAGUAAUAUAUAGCUAAUCUGCCCCUUGCUGGAGGACAACCGUUAGAAAUGACUGCUAAUACCCCAUAGGAAAGGAUGAGACCAAAUCGUAUCAGCUAGUCGGUGGGGUAACGGCCUACCGAGGCUAUGCUGCGUAACUGGUCUGAGAGGAUGAUCAGUCAAGUUGGAGCUGAGACACAGUCGAAACUCCUACGGGAGGCAGCGGUAGGGAAUAUUGCGCAAUAGGGGGAGCCCUGACGGAGCAACGCCGCGUGGGGGAUGACACUUUUCGGGGCGUAAACUCCUUUUGUUAGAGAGGCGGUACCUAACGAAUAAGCACCGGCUAACUCCGUGCCAGCCGCCGCGGUAAUAC